UUAAAUUGAAGAGUUUGAUCAUGGCUCAGAUUGAACGCUGGCGGCAGGCCUAACACAUGCAAGUCGAACGGUAACAGGAAGCAGCUUGCUGCUUCGCUGACGAGUGGCGGACGGGUGAGUAAUGUCUGGGAAACUGCCUGAUGGAGGGGGAUAACUACUGGAAACGGUAGCUAAUACCGCAUAAUGUCGCAGGACCAAAGAGGGGGACCUUCGGGCCUCUUGCCAUCAGAUGUGCCCAGAUGGGAUUAGCUAGUUGGUGAGGUAACGGCUCACCAAGGCGACGAUCCCUAGCUGGUCUGAGAGGAUGACCAGCCACACUGGAACUGAGACACGGUCCAGACUCCUACGGGAGGCAGCAGUGGGGAAUAUUGCACAAUGGGCGCAAGCCUGAUGCAGCCAUGCCGCGUGUAUGAAGAAGGCCUUCGGGUUGUAAAGUACUUUCAGCGGGGAGGAAGGGGAUAAGGCUAAUAACCUUGUUCAUUGACGUUACCCGCAGAAGAAGCACCGGCUAACUCCGUGCCAGCAGCCGCGGUAAUACGGAGGGUGCAAGCGUUAAUCGGAAUUACUGGGCGUAAAGCGCACGCAGGCGGUCUGUCAAGUCGGAUGUGAAAUCCCCGGGCUCAACCUGGGAACUGCAUUCGAAACUGGCAGGCUUGAGUCUUGUAGAGGGGGGUAGAAUUCCAGGUGUAGCGGUGAAAUGCGUAGAGAUCUGGAGGAAUACCGGUGGCGAAGGCGGCCCCCUGGACAAAGACUGACGCUCAGGUGCGAAAGCGUGGGGAGCAAACAGGAUUAGAUACCCUGGUAGUCCACGCCGUAAACGAUGUCUACUUGGAGGUUGUGCCCUUGAGGCGUGGCUUCCGGAGCUAACGCGUUAAGUAGACCGCCUGGGGAGUACGGCCGCAAGGUUAAAACUCAAAUGAAUUGACGGGGGCCCGCACAAGCGGUGGAGCAUGUGGUUUAAUUCGAUGCAACGCGAAGAACCUUACCUGGUCUUGACAUCCACAGAACUUUCCAGAGAUGGAUUGGUGCCUUCGGGAACUGUGAGACAGGUGCUGCAUGGCUGUCGUCAGCUCGUGUUGUGAAAUGUUGGGUUAAGUCCCGCAACGAGCGCAACCCUUAUCCUUUGUUGCCAGCGGUCCGGCCGGGAACUCAAAGGAGACUGCCAGUGAUAAACUGGAGGAAGGUGGGGAUGACGUCAAGUCAUCAUGGCCCUUACGACCAGGGCUACACACGUGCUACAAUGGCGCAUACAAAGAGAAGCGACCUCGCGAGAGCAAGCGGACCUCAUAAAGUGCGUCGUAGUCCGGACUGGAGUCUGCAACUCGACUCCAUGAAGUCGGAAUCGCUAGUAAUCGUGGAUCAGAAUGCCACGGUGAAUACGUUCCCGGGCCUUGUACACACCGCCCGUCACACCAUGGGAGUGGGUUGCAAAAGAAGUAGGUAGCUUAACCUUCGGGAGGGCGCUUACCACUUUGUGAUUCAUGACUGGGGUGAAGUCGUAACAAGGUAACCGUAGGGGAACCUGCGGUUGGAUCACCUCCUUA
This 1544-nucleotide ribosomal RNA is filed under the name Salmonella enterica subsp. arizonae serovar 62:z4,z23:-. RNAcentral describes it as "16S ribosomal RNA". It matches the Rfam family "Bacterial small subunit ribosomal RNA". Lineage: Bacteria; Pseudomonadati; Pseudomonadota; Gammaproteobacteria; Enterobacterales; Enterobacteriaceae. The record is from RNAcentral.